This 449-nucleotide ribosomal RNA is filed under the name uncultured bacterium. RNAcentral describes it as "partial 16S ribosomal RNA". It matches the Rfam family "Bacterial small subunit ribosomal RNA", at positions 29 to 523 of the family's 1533-position model. The record is from RNAcentral.
AACGAACGCUGGCGGCAGGCCUAACACAUGCAAGUCGAGCGCGCCCUUCGGGGUGAGCGGCGGACGGGUGAGUAACGCGUGGGAACGUGCCCUUCUCUGCGGAAUAGCCUCGGGAAACUGAGAGUAAUACCGCAUGCGCCCUUUGGGGGAAAGAUUUAUCGGAGAAGGAUCGGCCCGCGUUGGAUUAGGUAGUUGGUGGGGUAAUGGCUCACCAAGCCGACGAUCCAUAGCUGGUUUGAGAGGAUGAUCAGCCACACUGGGACUGAGACACGGCCCAGACUCCUACGGGAGGCAGCAGUGGGGAAUCUUAGACAAUGGGGGCAACCCUGAUCUAGCCAUGCCGCGUGAGUGAUGAAGGCCUUAGGGUUGUAAAGCUCUUUCAGCUGGGAAGAUAAUGACGGUACCAGCAGAAGAAGCCCCGGCUAACUCCGUGCCAGCCGCCGCAGUAA